Molecule: ribosomal RNA, 565 nt
Filed under: uncultured bacterium
Lineage: Bacteria
Description: bacterial SSU rRNA
Rfam family: Bacterial small subunit ribosomal RNA
Source: RNAcentral
AAUUUCGCAAUGGGGGCAACCCUGACGAAGCAAUGCCGCGUGAAUGAAGAAGGCCUUCGGGUUGUAAAGUUCUUUCGUGGGAGACGAAAAGGUGAUCGCUAAUAUCGGUUACUGUUGACGUGAACCCAAGAAGAAGCACCGGCUAACUCCGUGCCAGCAGCCGCGGUAAUACGGAGGGUGCGAGCGUUAAUCGGAAUUACUGGGCGUAAAGGGCGCGUAGGCGGUUGGUUACGUCUGCCGUGAAAUCCCCGGGCUCAACCUGGGAAUGGCGGUGGAAACGGGCUGACUAGAGUAUGGGAGAGGGUGAUGGAAUUCCAGGUGUAGCGGUGAAAUGCGUAGAGAUCUGGAGGAACAUCAGUGGCGAAGGCGGUCACCUGGCCCAAUACUGACGCUGAGGCGCGAAAGCGUGGGGAGCAAACAGGAUUAGAUACCCUGGUAGUCCACGCCCUAAACGAUGGAUACUAGAUGUUUGGUGCCUUAGGUGCUGAGUGUCGUAGCUAACGCGAUAAGUAUCCCGCCUGGGAAGUACGGCCGCAAGGUUAAAACUCAAAUGAAUUGACGGGGG